RNAcentral lists this ribosomal RNA (393 nucleotides) under uncultured bacterium. Its description in RNAcentral is "partial 16S ribosomal RNA". It matches the Rfam family "Bacterial small subunit ribosomal RNA", at positions 523 to 918 of the family's 1533-position model. The record is from RNAcentral.
AUACGUAGGAUGCGAGCGUUAUCCGGAUUUAUUGGGUUUAAAGGGAGCGUCGGUGGAUUGUUAAGUCAGUUGUGAAAGUUUGCGGCUCAACCGUAAAAUUGCAGUUGAAACUGGCAGUCUUGAGUACAGUAGAGGUGGGCGGAAUUCGUGGUGUAGCGGGGAAAUGCUUAGAUAUCACGAAGAACUCCGAUUGCGAAGGCAGCUCACUAGACUGUUACUGACACUGAUGCUCGAAAGUGUGGGUAUCAAACAGGAUUAGAUACCCUGGUAGUCCACACAGUAAACGAUGAAUACUCGCUGUUUGCGAUAUACAGUAAGCGGCCAAGCGAAAGCAUUAAGUAUUCCACCUGGGGAGUACGCCGGCAACGGUGAAACUCAAAGGAAUUGGCGGGG